Long non-coding RNA from Brassica napus (rape), 823 nucleotides. RefSeq lists it as uncharacterized. The record is from RefSeq and is a predicted model, not a curated record. Lineage: Eukaryota; Viridiplantae; Streptophyta; Magnoliopsida; Brassicales; Brassicaceae. The transcript has 5 exons.
UAUUUAUGGGGAGAUAGGAGUAUCAGCACCAUCUACAGUGACGAAAUCAGACCAUUCAGCAUGUUAUGUUGACAAUUUAAAUGUACAUGUACGUUACUAUUUUGUCUGAAGUUAUUUAUGUUUGGGGUUGCCUUGAACUCUGUUUGUUUCGGAAAAACCUCAAAUAGCUCUGCAGGUCAACCACUGUUUGUGUUACUGUGUUUGACAAGGUCGUAAAUCUCCUCCAUGACAAGUUCGAACUCUUGGGUGUGAAGCCUACCCAAUGGUUGCAACAAACAUAAAUCCCAAAUUUGUUGGUGGUUGUUUAUUCUACAAUGAAAGCCUAGCCACACAUGAACUUUUAAAAGAGUUUUUUGUGGAGGUGAGGCUGGUUCCAAGUAUUGUGGUCUUAAGAAACUUGAGUCAGUCACGCUCCAGGAGCUUAAUAGCUAUGUUCUCAAUUCAACCCCCCCCCCCCCCCCCCAUGUACGUCCACUUAAUAAGAGGCUGUGGAAUUCAUUUGCAAAGGUGAGGUGGCUGAUAUUGACACAACCAAUGGAUAGUGCUGCAUCUCAUGUUCUAUGUGCUCGCGCAAGCUGCUUUGUGGAUUCACAUCUUUCAGCUGCUCCGGAUGCAGUGAUAAGAAAGCAGUAGGUUCCGAGUGCAGAUGGCGGUAGAAGACGUCACCAAUGCAGCUCUUUUUGUCGCAUUUGAUGAGGAAAUCACCAAACUUUCUUUAGGUAGGAAUCAGAGUUAGAUUUGAGGCCAGUUGUGUUGGAUUUGAUGUUGUACACAAUGAAAACAUUUCAUGUUAUAUGUUUAAUUCUUGAUUUUGAUAUGUCAA